GUAGGGAAUAUUGGACAAUGGGCGAAAGCCUGAUCCAGCCAUGCCGCGUGAUAGAUGAAGGCCCUCUGGGUUGUAAAUAUCUUUUAUCUGGGAAGAAACUCCUCUAUUCUUAGAGGCCUGACGGUACCAGAGGAAUAAGCACCGGCUAACUCCGUGCCAGCAGCCGCGGUAAUACGGAGGGUGCAAGCGUUAUCCGGAUUCACUGGGUUUAAAGGGUGCGUAGGCGGGUUGAUAAGUCAGUUGUGAAAGCUCCGGGCUUAACUUGGAAACUGCCAUUGAUACUGUCAAUCUUGAAUGUCGUAGAGGUAAGCGGAAUGUUGCAUGUAGCGGUGAAAUGCUUAGAUAUGUUACAGAACACCAAUUGCGAAGGCAGCUUACUAUGCGAUAAUUGACGCUGAGGCACGAAAGCGUGGGGAGCAAACAGGAUUAGAAACCCCUGUAGUCC
This 445-nucleotide ribosomal RNA is filed under the name uncultured bacterium. Its description in RNAcentral is "partial 16S ribosomal RNA". It matches the Rfam family "Bacterial small subunit ribosomal RNA", at positions 354 to 796 of the family's 1533-position model. The record is from RNAcentral.